Molecule: ribosomal RNA, 433 nt
Filed under: uncultured bacterium
Lineage: Bacteria
Description: partial 16S ribosomal RNA
Rfam family: Bacterial small subunit ribosomal RNA
Source: RNAcentral
AACGAACGCUGGCGGCAUGCCUAACACAUGCAAGUCGAACGAGACCUUCGGGUCUAGUGGCGCACGGGUGCGUAACGCGUGGGAACCUGCCCUUAGGUUCGGAAUAACUCCCCGAAAGGGGUGCUAAUACCGGAUAAUGUCUUCGGACCAAAGAUUUAUCGCCUUUGGAUGGGCCCGCGUUGGAUUAGCUAGUUGGUAGGGUAAAAGCCUACCAAGGCGACGAUCCCUAGCUGGUCUGAGAGGAUGGUCAGCCACACUGGGACUGAGACACGGCCCAGACUCCUACGGGAGGCAGCAGUGGGGAAUAUUGGACAAUGGGCGAAAGCCUGAUCCAGCAAUGCCGCGUGAGUGAUGAAGGCCUUAGGGUUGUAAAGCUCUUUUACCCGGGAUGAUAAUGACAGUACCGGGAGAAUAAGCGCCGGCUAACUCCGUG